GCCCAAGUGGCGGAACUGGCAGACGCGCUAGAUUCAGGUUCUAGUGGGCUAAUCCCCCGUGGAAGUUCGAGUCUUCUCUUGGGCA
RNAcentral lists this transfer RNA (85 nucleotides) under Deltaproteobacteria bacterium. RNAcentral describes it as "tRNA-Leu". It matches the Rfam family "tRNA". Rfam says of the family: Transfer RNA (tRNA) molecules are approximately 80 nucleotides in length. Their secondary structure includes four short double-helical elements and three loops (D, anti-codon, and T loops). The record is from RNAcentral. Lineage: Bacteria; Pseudomonadati; Myxococcota; Myxococcia.